Molecule: microRNA, 23 nt
Filed under: Danio rerio (zebrafish)
Lineage: Eukaryota; Metazoa; Chordata; Actinopteri; Cypriniformes; Danionidae
Also listed under: 3 other names
Description: dre-miR-219-3p
Gene: dre-miR-219-3p
Source: miRBase by way of RNAcentral
GGAGUUGUGGAUGGACAUCACGC